AGAGCAUGAGAGGGGGAGGGUCAGAGAGAGAGGGGAAACACAGAAUCUGAAGCAGACUCUAGGCACUGAGCUGUCAGCGUAGAGCCUGACAUGGUGCUCAAACUUGCAAACUGUGAGAUCAUGACCUGAGCCAGUUGCCGCUUAACCGACUGAGCCACCCAGGUGCCCCAUGGGGGAUUCUCUUAAAUGCUAGUAAAAAAACCCAGUAUGAGCAUUGAUUAAUAUUCAAACUACUACUGUUGCAACAUCACAUCUCUUCCUAUGCUGAAGAGAGAACAUAUGUGUAGGUCAAUAGGCAGGAGAGCUUGUGGACUGUAAUGGGUUGUAUGAAUGGACUGUGUGGUGAAAAAGGGUGGGAGGAGAUGAGGCUGAGGGGAUCAGAGUUACAUAAUCAUGACAUAUAUCUGCCUGUGGAAUCUAACUUUAUCCUGAAGGAGGUGCUGAAAUGUUCAAAGUUGGCAUGUAAUGCAGUGGGACAGAAAGAUCUCUUUGGUAAUCAUUUGAUUGGAGCAGGAGGAGAUUCCUGACAGGAAGAGCACAUAGGAUGCAUGGAAAUCACCCAGGCAAGAUAAGAGCCCUGACUGAUAGACUCUUCACCUUAACUGUGAUAUAAAAUGCAAAGUACAAAUUUCACUGGAAUAAGACUUUUUACUUCAACUGCAACAACACUACUGAUAUUCAGAAUUUGGGCAUCUGAUAUGGGCUUCUAUGAAUUAUGGUGCUCAUGAGGCCAAAAGCUUUAAACCAUGUAAUACCUUUCAAGGGUAACUGCACAUUCUCCAGCUACCCACUAUGUACAAGACAUCAGUGCUCCCUUGCUAGAACAGGACUGGUGGGCUGGGAUCCCUUCAGGAGAUACUGUAACAAUGAAGGCCUGCUUCAGUCUCCAUGGACAGAAGUGAGUAGGGGACGCUUGCCAAUGGCUCUGGUAAUCCAAAGACUGUAGCUCUGGAAACCAUGCAUGUCCUUGGCAUG
Molecule: long non-coding RNA, 975 nt
Filed under: Felis catus (domestic cat)
Lineage: Eukaryota; Metazoa; Chordata; Mammalia; Carnivora; Felidae
Description: lncRNA (ENSFCAG00000053738.1)
Source: RNAcentral